This is a non-coding RNA of Ceratotherium simum simum (southern white rhinoceros), 783 nucleotides long. The record is from RefSeq and is a predicted model, not a curated record. Lineage: Eukaryota; Metazoa; Chordata; Mammalia; Perissodactyla; Rhinocerotidae.
CAGGGAGGGGGGAGGCAGGAUCAGUGUGUGUGCAAAGGCCAGAGAAGCUGCCCCCACCUGUGAGUCAAGUCUGUGAGAUGGUGUGAGGUCACAGGUCCCUGGAGUACACAGACUCUGUCCUGGUCGCCAGCCGAUGAUGCUGGUGCAUGUCCUUCCCAGGCCCGGGAUGUGGUGUCUGUGCCUAGGUGGGCUGCCUCAGGCCCCUCCACACCGGGCUGGCUUCCCCAGGGCAGGGAGAGAAUCCCUGGGCAGCAGUUGGCACUGCAGGCUCCCUCCCUACCCCUCACCUACUUGUUACUAGGGGCACAUGUGUCCUCGGCAGUGACAGUGGGAGCUGAGGCCCUGAGUCAAGGCCUCCCUGCCUUUGUAGCCCUCUACACACGUCAGCUGUCCUCUGCAGCCACGCUGUGGCCCCGAGCUCCUCCAGGCAGCUGCCUGUGAGUCUGCACAGCAUAGGCCCGAAGCCCCCGGGAGCCCAUGACUCCACUGGGCCAAUGCCGACCUCUCCCCCUCCCAGCGUCCAGCUAGGUACUGUGUUCCCCUUCCUGCCCCUUGCUGCCCCCUCCCCACAGAGCUCAGGAGACCCAGGAUGACAUGGCACAGGGAGGGGGCCUGGACUCUUUUGCCUAGCUGAGAGGCUGGUGGACAGCCACACCCAGCCCGGCCAUCACUCAGCGUUCAGGGGCUGGCCUCUACCUUUGGCUCUUCACUCUGAGCCCAGGACCUUGGGUGCCAUAGAGACAGUGCCCACCGGGCAGCAGUUGUGCUUGAGUGCAAGCUUUC